AGAGAGAGACAUGCGCGCAUAUCAAUAAGCGGAGGAAAAGAAACUAACAAGGAUUCCCUUAGUAACGGCGAGUGAAGCGGGAAGAGCUCAAAUUGGAAAUCUUCAAGGUUUUACCUUGACGAAUUGUAGUUUAAAGAAGUGUUUUCUGCUGAAGUUUUGGUAAAAGUUCUUUGGAAUAGGACAUCAUAGAGGGUGAGAAUCCCGUAUUUGACCAUUAUUUUCAGCUUUGUGAUACACUUUCAAAGAGUCGGAUUGCUUGGGAAUGCAGUCCAAAAUGGGUGGUAAAUUUCAUCUAAAGCUAAAUAUUGGCGAGAGACCGAUAGCGAACAAGUACCGUGAGGGAAAGAUGAAAAGAACUUUGAAAAGAGAGUUAAACAGUACGUGAAAUUGUCAAAAGGGAAGCGUUCGACACCAGUGUUGUUUUCUCGAAAAUCAAUUAAAAAUGGCUCGAUUUUGUAUUGCUGAGACCUUAAAAGCUCACUGUACACUUUUCGUGUCUUUUUUAAUGCACUUUUCGUUUAACAAGUCAACAUCAGUUUCUUUUGUUGUAAAAGGGUCAUUGGAAGGUGGCUUUCUUUUCGGAGAAAGUGUUUAUAGCCUUUGGCCUCUGCAAUCGAAGAGACUGAGGUCUGCAGCGUAGACUCUUCGGGGUUAGAUACAUUUGUGCUAAGUUAUAGCUUUUUAUAGACAACUUGUUGACUAUAAUUAGUCUUGUAGCUUACUCGCUUAUGCUAUUUUACCUACGCUUAGGAUGUUGAGUCGUAGAGCACGCAG
This 774-nucleotide ribosomal RNA is filed under the name uncultured Neocallimastigales. RNAcentral's name for it is "partial large subunit ribosomal RNA". It matches the Rfam family "Eukaryotic large subunit ribosomal RNA", at positions 23 to 634 of the family's 3401-position model. Lineage: Eukaryota; Fungi; Neocallimastigomycota; Neocallimastigomycetes; Neocallimastigales. The record is from RNAcentral.